GGCGGCCCACUACCAGACGGUUACAAACGUCGCCAUCAAUCCGUUACCUCCUCCGCCUAUAAAAAGGGGGACCCAGAUACGUUAUUCUCUAAGCUCAUUUCUUAUCUCAAAACUCUGCUAAAUUCUCCGUUCGAGCGCUCCAUUCUUGUUGAGGCAGAGAACUGACUUGAGCGUCGGAGGGUCUUGCCGGAGCAACCCCACCUCCG
This 206-nucleotide long non-coding RNA is filed under the name Elaeis guineensis (African oil palm). Its description in RNAcentral is "long non-coding RNA (EGUI_LNC024646)". Lineage: Eukaryota; Viridiplantae; Streptophyta; Magnoliopsida; Arecales; Arecaceae. The record is from RNAcentral.